Molecule: ribosomal RNA, 451 nt
Filed under: uncultured bacterium
Lineage: Bacteria
Description: bacterial SSU rRNA
Rfam family: Bacterial small subunit ribosomal RNA
Source: RNAcentral
UUCCAGACUCCUACGGGAGGCAGCAGUGGGGAAUAUUGGGCAAUGGGCGCAAGCCUGACCCAGCAACGCCGCGUGAAGGAAGAAGGCUUUCGGGUUGUAAACUUCUUUUCUGAGGGACGAAGAAAGUGACGGUACCUCAGGAAUAAGCCACGGCUAACUACGUGCCAGCAGCCGCGGUAAAACGUAGGGUGCAAGCGUUGUCCGGAAUUACCGGGUGUAAAGGGAGCGCAGGCGGAUUGACAAGUUGGGAGUGAAAACUACGGGCUCAACCCGUAACCUGCUUUCAAAACUGUCAGUCUUGAGUGGUGUAGAGGUAGGCGGAAUUCCCGGUGUAGCGGUGGAAUGCGUAGAUAUCGGGAGGAACACCAGUGGCGAAGGCGGCCUACUGGGCACUAACUGACGCUGAGGCUCGAAAGCAUGGGUAGCAAACAGGAUUAGAUACCCGCGUAGU